RNAcentral lists this ribosomal RNA (253 nucleotides) under uncultured bacterium. RNAcentral describes it as "partial 16S ribosomal RNA". It matches the Rfam family "Bacterial small subunit ribosomal RNA", at positions 524 to 776 of the family's 1533-position model. The record is from RNAcentral.
GACAGAGGGGGCAAGCGUUGCUCGGAAUCACUGGGCGUAAAGGGCGCGUAGGCGGGAUGGCAAGUCGGUCGUGAAAUCCUUCGGCUCAACCGAAGAACGUCGGCCGAUACUGCCGUUCUUGAGGGAUGCAGAGGAGAUUGGAAUUCCCGGUGUAGCGGUGAAAUGUGUAGAGAUCGGGAGGAACACCGGUGGCGAAGGCGAGUCCCUGGACAACUCCUGACACUGAGGCACGAAAGCUAGGGGAGCAAACAGG